RNAcentral lists this small nuclear RNA (105 nucleotides) under Choloepus hoffmanni (Hoffmann's two-fingered sloth). The record is from RNAcentral. Lineage: Eukaryota; Metazoa; Chordata; Mammalia; Pilosa; Megalonychidae.
GUGCUCACUUCACAAACGUAUACUAAAAUUGGAAUGAAACAAAGAAGAUUAGCAUGGCCCCUGCACAAGUAUGACACACAAAUUCAUGAAGCACUCCAUAUUUUU